RNAcentral lists this ribosomal RNA (410 nucleotides) under uncultured crenarchaeote. Its description in RNAcentral is "bacterial SSU rRNA". It matches the Rfam family "Archaeal small subunit ribosomal RNA", at positions 459 to 869 of the family's 1478-position model. Lineage: Archaea; Thermoproteati; Thermoproteota. The record is from RNAcentral.
CAGCCGCCGCGGUAAUACCAGCUCCGCGAGUGGUCGGGACGAUUAUUGGGCCUAAAGCGUUCGUAGCCGGUCUAGCAAGUCUUUGGUUAAACUUCAAGGCUUAACCUUGAGAUUGCUGGGGAUACUGCUAGACUAGGGGGCGGUAGAGGUUGAGGGUACUUCGCGGGUAGGGGCGAAAUCCUAUAAUCCGCGAAGGACCACCAGUGGCGAAGGCGCUCAACUGGAACGCGCCCGACGGUGCGGGACGAAAGCCAGGGGAGCAAAGGGGAUUAGAUACCCCCGUAGUCCUGGCUGUAAUCGAUGCGGGCUAGGUGUUGGGUUGGCUUCGUGCCAACCCGGUGCCGUAACGAAGGCGAUAAGCCCGCCGCCUGGGAAGUACGGCUGCAAGGCUGAAACUUAAAGGAAUUGUC